GAAGAUAUAGCUCAGUGGUAGAUUGUGUGCCUAGCAUGUGCAAGGCCCUGGGUUCAAUCUCCAGGCCUAUA
This 71-nucleotide transfer RNA is filed under the name Marmota monax (woodchuck). Its description in RNAcentral is "tRNA.Ala". The record is from RNAcentral. Lineage: Eukaryota; Metazoa; Chordata; Mammalia; Rodentia; Sciuridae.